Molecule: ribosomal RNA, 232 nt
Filed under: uncultured bacterium
Lineage: Bacteria
Description: partial 16S ribosomal RNA
Rfam family: Bacterial small subunit ribosomal RNA
Source: RNAcentral
GCGAACGCUGGCGGCAUGCUUAACACAUGCAAGUCGUGCGCCCCCGCAAGGGGAGCGGCGGACGGGUGAGUAGCGCGUAGGGACGUGUCCUGAGGUGGGGAACAACCCCGGGAAACUGGGGCUAAUGCCGCAUAUGGCCGAGAGGUCAAAGCCUUCGGGCGCCUUGGGAGCGGCCUGCGUCCGAUUAGCUUGUUGGUGGGGUAACGCCUACCAAGGCUUCGAUCGGUAGCUG